This 326-nucleotide unclassified non-coding RNA is filed under the name soil metagenome. RNAcentral describes it as "partial contains 5.8S ribosomal RNA, internal transcribed spacer 2, and large subunit ribosomal RNA". The stretch from base 5 to 119 matches the Rfam family "5.8S ribosomal RNA", at positions 40 to 154 of the family's 154-position model. The record is from RNAcentral.
GAUGAGAACGUAGCGAAAUGCGAUAAGUAAUGUGAAUUGCAGAAUUCAGUGAAUCAUCGAAUCUUUGAACGCACAUUGCGCCCCUUGGUAUUCCGGGGGGCAUGCCUGUUCGAGCGUCAUUAUCACCCCUCAAGCUCAGCUUGGUGUUGGGGCCUGCCGUCAAGGCAGCCCUUAAAAUCAGUGGCGGCGCCAUCUGGCUCUAAGCGUAGUAAUACUUCUCGCUACAGGAUCCCGGUGGUGUCUUGCCAGAACCCCUCAUUUUUUAUGAUUGACCUCGGAUCAGGUAGGGAUACCCGCUGAACUUAAGCAUAUCAAUAAGCGGAGGA